Molecule: long non-coding RNA, 290 nt
Filed under: Pan troglodytes (chimpanzee)
Lineage: Eukaryota; Metazoa; Chordata; Mammalia; Primates; Hominidae
Description: long non-coding RNA NONPTRT001325
Source: RNAcentral
GCUCACUCCCCUCGGAUAGUGUUUCCACCCGAGUUUUUCCCGGGAAGAGGCUCUCAAGACUAGCCAGUGCAGGAGGAGGAGUCGAACUCUGGAUAGCCUGUUUAUAAAGCCCUAACUGUGCCGAUGUUGACCGUUUUCUGAAACUCCUCCUCCAAAACCCACGCCAAACCACAAGAUGAAGGAAAUUCACACAUCAGGAUGCCAAAAACCAUGGAAGACUUCUGAUGUUCUGGGAGGGUUGACAAAGAUGGACCUUAAAUUCUAGGUCAAUACUAAUCUCUAGGAUCGAG